GGGCGUUUAGCUCAGUGGUAGAGCGCAGUCCUGAUAAGACUGAGGUCGCAGGUUCAAUCCCUGCAACGCCCA
This 72-nucleotide transfer RNA is filed under the name Candidatus Harrisonbacteria bacterium. Its description in RNAcentral is "tRNA-Ile". It matches the Rfam family "tRNA". From Rfam's summary of the family: Transfer RNA (tRNA) molecules are approximately 80 nucleotides in length. The record is from RNAcentral. Lineage: Bacteria; Candidatus Harrisoniibacteriota.